This 500-nucleotide ribosomal RNA is filed under the name uncultured bacterium. Its description in RNAcentral is "partial 16S ribosomal RNA". It matches the Rfam family "Bacterial small subunit ribosomal RNA", at positions 30 to 523 of the family's 1533-position model. The record is from RNAcentral.
AUUGAACGCUGGCGGCAGGCCUAACACAUGCAAGUCGAGCGGAUGAAGAGAGCUUGCUCUCUGAUUUAGCGGCGGACGGGUGAGUAAUGCCUAGGAAUCUGCCUGGUAGUGGGGGAUAACGUUCCGAAAGGAACGCUAAUACCGCAUACGUCCUACGGGAGAAAGCAGGGGACCUUCGGGCCUUGCGCUAUCAGAUGAGCCUAGGUCGGAUUAGCUAGUUGGUGAGGUAAUGGCUCACCAAGGCUACGAUCCGUAACUGGUCUGAGAGGAUGAUCAGUCACACUGGAACGGAGACACGGUCCAGACUCCUACGGGAGGCAGCAGUGGGGAAUAUUGGACAAUGGGCGAAAGCCUGAUCCAGCCAUGCCGCGUGUGUGAAGAAGGUCUUCGGAUUGUAAAGCACUUUAAGUUGGGAGGAAGGGCAGUAAGUUAAUACCUUGCUGUUUUGACGUUACCGACAGAAUAAGCACCGGCUAACUUCGUGCCAGCCGCCGCCGUAA